Molecule: ribosomal RNA, 468 nt
Filed under: uncultured bacterium
Lineage: Bacteria
Description: partial 16S ribosomal RNA
Rfam family: Bacterial small subunit ribosomal RNA
Source: RNAcentral
GAUGAACGCUGGCGGCGUGCUUAACACAUGCAAGUCGAACGGUGAAGGCGGAGCUUGCUCUGCUGGAUCAGUGGCGAACGGGUGAGUAACACGUGAGCAAUCUGCCCCUGACUCUGGGAUAAGCGCUGGAAACGGCGUCUAAUACUGGAUACGAGCUGCGAAGGCAUCUUCAGCAGCUGGAAAGAACUUCGGUCAGGGAUGAGCUCGCGGCCUAUCAGCUUGUUGGUGAGGUAACGGCUCACCAAGGCGUCGACGGGUAGCCGGCCUGAGAGGGUGACCGGCCACACUGGGACUGAGACACGGCCCAGACUCCUACGGGAGGCAGAGGUGGGGAAUAUUGCACAAUGGGCGAAAGCCUGAUGCAGCAACGCCGCGUGAGGGACGACGGCCUUCGGGUUGUAAACCUCUUUUAGCAGGGAAGAAGCGAAAGUGACGGUACCUGCAGAAAAAGCGCCGGCUAACUACGUG